Molecule: ribosomal RNA, 494 nt
Filed under: uncultured bacterium
Lineage: Bacteria
Description: partial 16S ribosomal RNA
Rfam family: Bacterial small subunit ribosomal RNA
Source: RNAcentral
GACGAACGCUGGCGGCGUGCCUAAUACAUGCAAGUAGAACGCUGAAGGAGGAGCUUGCUUCUCUGGAUGAGUCGCGCACGUGUGAGUAACGCGUAGGUAACCUUCCUGGUAGCGGGGGAUAACUAUUGGAAACGAUAGCUAAUACCGCAUAAGAGUAGAUGUUGCAUGACAUUUGUUUGAAAGGUCCCAUUCCAUCACUACCAGAUGGAACUGCGUUGUAUUAGCUAGUGGGUGGGGUAAAGGCUCACCACGGCGACGCUACAUAGCCGACCUGAAAGGAGAAUGACCAACACUGGAAUGGAGACAGGCCCAAGACUCCUAGGGAGGGAACAGGAGGGGAUCAUUGGAAAUAGGCGGAAGUCCUAACGAGCAACGCCGCGGGGGUGAAGGAGGGUCUUGGGUUGUAAAAACCUGUUGUAAGGGAAGAACGGGUGGGAGGUUGGAAAGUUCACGCUGUGACGGUAUCUUAACAGUAAGGGACGGCUAACUACGUG